RNAcentral lists this ribosomal RNA (253 nucleotides) under uncultured bacterium. RNAcentral's name for it is "partial 16S ribosomal RNA". It matches the Rfam family "Bacterial small subunit ribosomal RNA", at positions 524 to 776 of the family's 1533-position model. The record is from RNAcentral.
UACGGAAGGGGCUAGCGUUGUUCGGAAUCACUGGGCGUAAAGCGCGCGUAGGCGGCUUGGCAAGCGCGGCGUGAAAGUCCUGGGCUCAACCUGGGGACGGCGCUGCGGACUGCUUGGCUGGAGUCCGGAAGAGGGUGGUGGAAUUCCGAGUGUAGAGGUGAAAUUCGUAGAUAUUGGAAAGAACACCGAUGGCGAAGGCACUUUACUGGGCUAUUACUAACACUCAGAGACGAAAGCUAGGGUAGCAAAUGGG